UUCACAUGCUAAAUCUAGCUUAGCUGAAGAAGAAUUCAAAUCAUAUCGCACAUUCUCUCUGCAACAAAAAAUAUUUUAAAUAUCCGUCUGAUAUUUUCACAAUAAUAUCAUAAUACUGUUACUUCUUUUUAAAUACCUCACUGCAUAGAUAUUUCAUGAAAUAUGGAUACCACUACACAUUUCUAGUGUUGUUAACCAGUGAAUUCAAACACCA
RNAcentral lists this long non-coding RNA (214 nucleotides) under Trifolium pratense (red clover). RNAcentral describes it as "long non-coding RNA (TPRA_LNC008498)". The record is from RNAcentral. Lineage: Eukaryota; Viridiplantae; Streptophyta; Magnoliopsida; Fabales; Fabaceae.